ACGGUGAAGCCCUUCGGGGUGGAUCAGUGGCGAACGGGUGAGUAACACGUGGGCAAUCUGCCCUGCACUCUGGGACAAGCCCUGGAAACGGGGUCUAAUACCGGAUAUGACCUUCCUCCGCAUGGGGGUUGGUGGAAAGCUCCGGCGGUGCAGGAUGAGCCCGCGGCCUAUCAGCUUGUUGGUGGGGUAAUGGCCUACCAAGGCGACGACGGGUAGCCGGCCUGAGAGGGCGACCGGCCACACUGGGACUGAGACACGGCCCAGACUCCUACGGGAGGCAGCAGUGGGGAAUAUUGCACAAUGGGCGCAAGCCUGAUGCAGCGACGCCGCGUGAGGGAUGACGGCCUUCGGGUUGUAAACCUCUUUCAGCAGGGAAGAAGCGCAAGUGACGGUACCUGCAGAAGAAGCACCGGCUAACUACGUGCCAGCAGCCGCGGUAAUACGUAGGGUGCGAGCGUUGUCCGGAAUUAUUGGGCGUAAAGAGCUCGUAGGCGGCCUGUCGCGUCGGAUGUGAAAGCCCGGGGCUUAACCCCGGGUCUGCAUUCGAUACGGGCAGGCUAGAGUGUGGUAGGGGAGAUCGGAAUUCCUGGUGUAGCGGUGAAAUGCGCAGAUAUCAGGA
This 619-nucleotide ribosomal RNA is filed under the name Streptomyces sp. ANA1912. RNAcentral describes it as "bacterial SSU rRNA". It matches the Rfam family "Bacterial small subunit ribosomal RNA", at positions 66 to 702 of the family's 1533-position model. Lineage: Bacteria; Bacillati; Actinomycetota; Actinomycetes; Kitasatosporales; Streptomycetaceae. The record is from RNAcentral.